RNAcentral lists this unclassified non-coding RNA (239 nucleotides) under uncultured fungus. RNAcentral's name for it is "sequence contains ITS1". The stretch from base 1 to 101 matches the Rfam family "5.8S ribosomal RNA", at positions 50 to 154 of the family's 154-position model. The record is from RNAcentral. Lineage: Eukaryota; Fungi.
GAAAUGCGAUACGUAAUGGAAAUUGCAUAUGUGAGUCAUCGAGUUUUUGAACGCACAUUGCGCCCAGUGGCAUUCCGCUGGGCAUGUGGGACUGAGCGUUUUUUCAAAUAAACCCUUUUGUUGUGUUUCACGUCGAUUCACUAAUCACAUGGUAACGCGUGUUGUUUUUAUCAAAAAACGCGUCUUUCAAAACCGUACAUUUGAAACCUCAGCCUCACAGGAAUACCCGCUGAACUUAA